CCUACGGGAGGCAGCAGUGAGGAAUAUUGGUCAAUGGACGAGAGUCUGAACCAGCCAAGUAGCGUGAAGGAUGACAGCCCUAUGGGUUGUAAACUUCUUUUAUAUGGGAAUAAAACGUUCCACGUGUGGGAUUUUGUAUGUACCAUAUGAAUAAGGAUCGGCUAACUCCGUGCCAGCAGCCGCGGUAAUACGGAGGAUCCGAGCGUUAUCCGGAUUUAUUGGGUUUAAAGGGAGCGUAGGUGGAUUGUUAAGUCAGUUGUGAAAGUUUGCGGCUCAACCGUAAAAUUGCAGUUGAAACUGGCAGUCUUGAGUACAGUAGAGGUGGGCGGAAUUCGUGGUGUAGCGGUGAAAUGCUUAGAUAUCACGAAGAACUCCGAUUGCGAAGGCAGUUCACUGGACUGCAACUGACACUGAGGCUCGAAAGUGUGGGUAUCAAACAGGAUUAGAUACCCCUGUAGUC
Molecule: ribosomal RNA, 460 nt
Filed under: uncultured bacterium
Lineage: Bacteria
Description: partial 16S ribosomal RNA
Rfam family: Bacterial small subunit ribosomal RNA
Source: RNAcentral